Non-coding RNA from Ictidomys tridecemlineatus (thirteen-lined ground squirrel), 81 nucleotides. The record is from Rfam. Lineage: Eukaryota; Metazoa; Chordata; Mammalia; Rodentia; Sciuridae.
GGAGUUGUGGCUCAGUGGUAGAGCACUCGCCUCAGCACCACAUAAAGUGAGAGACCCUGGUUUCGAUCCUCAACAGCACUU